RNAcentral lists this long non-coding RNA (4937 nucleotides) under Homo sapiens (human). RNAcentral's name for it is "HSALNT0388330". Lineage: Eukaryota; Metazoa; Chordata; Mammalia; Primates; Hominidae. The record is from RNAcentral.
GGGGAGGGGUGCGGCGGGGGAGGGGAGGAGGCCUGGCCCCGCGGUCGCAGCCGCCACCGCCCGCCCCGACCUCCCGGACCGCCGCGGGGCCACGGGCCCGAGCCCCGGAUUCGCGCUCCGGAUUCGCCUCGGCUCGGCCGCGCGUAUAUUUGCCUUCCCUCCAUGAUCUCCAACACUAUCCGAUAAAGUAGAAGCAACUGAGGUACCGUGAAAGAGAAAGGAGCUGGAACUGAGAAAAAGCAGAGGUGGAGUCUUGCUCUGUCGCCCCCAAGCUGGAGUGUAGUGACACGAUCUCGGCUCACCGAAACCUCCACCUCCCAGGUUCAAGCAAUUCUCCUGCCUCAGCCUCCCGAGUAGCUGGGAUUACAGGCGUGCACCACUGCACUGGGCUAAUUUUUGUGUAUUUUUUUUAGUAGAGACCGGGUUUCACCAUGUUGGCCAGGCUGGUCUUGAACUCCUGACCUCAGGUGAUCUGCCCACCUCGGCCACCCAGAGUGCUGGGAUUACAGGCGUGAGCCACCGUGCCUGGCCAAAAUAAAUAAAUUUUAAAAUAGAAGUAACUCAACUUCUGAGCUAUGGAAUAGUUCUCUGUACCUCCAGUACCUAAUAAAGAACCCAAAUACUGCAAUAUAUCUUUUCGAUUAAAAGAUUUUUUGUUUUUUAAUUGAUUAAAAGAUUUUAUCUGGUCUGCUCAUCCUUCUAUUGCUGCCUUUUAGCUAAAUCCAUUUCCUUGCUCUCACUGAGUAAGGAAUAUCAUCUUAAUCAGAAGGAGGAAGAUGUAAGCCUAAAAUUGUUGUAAUUGUUGUCUUUGCCUUCUGCAAGUUUUUUAGAUCUGCUUUUAAAAAUUUAUUUUAUUUUAUUUUAUUUUUAAGACAGAGUCUUCCUCUGUCACCCAGGCUGGAGUGCAGUGGCAUGAUCUCAGCUCACUGCAGUAACUGCCUCCCAGGCUCAAGCAAUCCUCCCACCUCAGCUUCUGGAGUAGCUGGGGUUACAAGCACAGGGGCCACCAUGCCCAGCUGUAGAUCUUCUUCGAUUGACCACUGUGAUGGAAACUGAAUAAUCCUAUACAAAAUGGCAAAAACCAAACUUUUUCCCAUUUGACAUUGCUUUUUAACAAUUUCUUAAUAGUUUUCUGUUGGCUGGCCAGCUAGAAGUAUCUUGCUUUUCAUCUGUUUUCAAGCCCCAGUUGUUCCAGCAGAAUUGCACACUUUUCCCAGCUGAUUAACUAUCCUUUAGGUUAUAAAUUUGUCAUGGGAAAUGCUAACCCACACUGGCUUCCUCUUACCCCUUCACUUGCUCUUGGGCCCUUUCACCAUCUAGCACUCCAGUCUGUAAAGGAAAAUAUUUUUUUUUCUUUUCUUUUUUUUGGAGACGGAGUCUUGCUCUGUCACCCGGGCUGGAAUGCAGUGGUGUGAUCUCGGCUCACUGCAACCUCUGCCUCCCGGGUUGAAGCGAUUCUCCUGCCUUAGCCUUCCAAGUAGCUGGGAUUACAGGCAUCCACCACCACACCCAGCUAAUUUUUUAUAUUUUUAGUAGAGACAGGGUUUCACCAUGUUGGCCAGGCUGGUCUUGAACUCCUGACCUGAAGUGAUCCACCCGCCUCGGCCUCCGAAAGUGCUGGGAUUAUAGGCAUGAGCCACCGCACUCGACUGAGCAUCAUUUUUAUUUCAGACUGAAUGAGAUAUAAUUAAUACAUUAAAAAUCAACUUAUUCUAUAUUCCAAAACUGUAGAACUCCUAAAAUGUAUCCCAGAGUCAAUAAUAAAGUUAUCCACUCACUUCAUUAGAGGAAGAGUUUGAGCUUUGGUGUCAGAAAGGUAGCACCUGGAAUCCAAGCUCUGCCACUUAAUAACUAUGACCCUGGGCAAGCUAUUUAUCCCUCAAGUCUCAGCUCCUCCAUCUGUAAAAUGGUGUAUUAAUGCCUAUCUCAAAGGGUUGUGGUGAGGUUUAAGUGAGCUAACUUACAUAAAGCACUGGCUGUAAUAAGGUACUCGAUAAUUGGUAGCUGCAUUCUAAACCAUCAAGUUUACUGUUAGCCACUUCUCUCUUCAGAGGUUCACUUAAGAUGACUGCAAGGUGAGAAGAUUCACAACCUGAGUUACGAGCUUAAGCACCUUAAAAUCCUUUAGGAGCAAAGGACUGACUUUAGUUACUCUUCUCCCAGUAGUUGGCCCCAUUCCCUUGCUUUCCAUCACUGUAUAAAGAAGCUCAAUUCUGGCAUGAUAUGAAACAAACCAUAUUUUACUUGACUCAAAAACUUCUCCUAAUGGAGGAAUAAACACUAUUGUUAGGUUGGAAACUGAAUGUUAGUCACAGAUACGGUCUGUAAUUUUCUAAUCAUGAGAGAUGUUACCUGGAUGCUGAAAAAUGCCAAAUCUCAAAAUCCUGAGGGGAGGAUUCAUUACUAAAUAAAGAAUGGCUAGCACAAGGAAUGGGAAAGAAAACUAAGGUUUUCUGAGUGUCUUUUCCAAGGACUCUUUAUAGUGCUGGGCAGGUUCCCAUUCCUUAUUUAAUCUUCUCAACAACACUAUAAGGUAGCAUCUUUUUAGGGUACCAUGUCCUGGGUCUUGCCUGUUGCCCUACUGUCAUCUUACUUUCUAUUAUCUGUAUUUUAUGGUUGAAGAAAUGGAAUCCAAAGGAAGGUAUUUAAAUAUUCUGUGCAUGGUUAUAAAGCCAGAACACUCCUCCUUUCUGCAGUUAGAUUUCUUCUAAGAAUAUCCCAUGCAUACCUUGUCCAACUGCAGCCUGGCUUCUCUAACAAAGCCACCAUGACCUGCUGUUUGCUGAAUCCAUGGUCGCUCAGGUCUUCAUCUUACGUGACCUCUGUGCAGCACUUUAUACUGUUGGCCGCUCCCCUCUCUUCUGUGCUCUCUCUUUGGCUUCUGUGGCAACAUUUCCUGCUUGGCCUCUUUCACCCUCUAGCUCUUCCUUUGUGGUGUCCUUUUCUCCUCCCCAAACCUCUGUAGAUUGCACUUCGUCCUUAAGGGGAUCUGAUCCUUGACUGGCUACAGCUGCUAUCUGCCAAUAAUUCCCACACCUAUAACUCUAGCCCAGAGCUGUCUUUCAGGAUCCAGUCCUAUAUAUCCAACAAGAUCUGGACAUGUGCCUGCCUGCCCGAGUUACCUCAUACAGCUAACUAAAAAUUCAUCACUUUCCUUCCCAAAGUCCUCUUCCAGCAGUUCCUUUUUCUGCCAGUGGACUCACCAUCCUCCUAGUCAUCCAGGCCAGACACGGGUGUCAUCCUUGACUCCUCCCUUUGCCUUAGACCCCUACCCAAAUUAUCAAGUCCUGCAAUUCUCUCUUCAUUUCAUCUCCGAUCUCCACUGCCACUAACCUAGUUCUGGCUGCCUUUGGAUCUCACCUGGACUACUGCAUUAGGGCAGGUCUCUCUGUCUCCACUUUCUCUCCCUCAUUUCCUUCUCUCUUGACAUUGUAGUCAAGUCACCUUUUGAAAAUGCAAAUCUGAUCAUGUGAUUCUCUCUAUAAAACCCUUAACUCUGGGCCAGGUACAGUGGCUCACACCUGUAAUCCCAGCACUGUGGGAGGCCCACACGGGUGGAUUGUCAGGAGUUCAAGACCAGCCUGGCCAACAUGGUGAAACCCCGUCUCUACUAAAAAUACAAAAAUUAGCCGGGUGUGGUGGUGCACGCCUGUAAUCCCAGCUACUCGGGAGGCUGAGGCAGGAGAAUUGCUUAAACCUGGGAGGCGAAGGUUGCAGUGAGCCGAGAUCAUGCCAUUGCACUCCAGCCUGGGCAACAAGAGCAAGACUCCAUCUCAAAAACAAAACAAAACAUAAAACACUUAACUCUGUACACUAUAAAAGGGUGAAUAUUAUGGUAUGUGAAUUAUGUCUCAAUUAAAAAAAAAUAAAACUUAACCUGGUUUACAAAGCCUUCUAUGAUUUGGUCUGGCUCAGCGUCUCUCAUUGGCUUCCCUCCCCCGCCUCCCGCUUUCCUCUUAGCUUUACCAUGCUACAGUUCCUUCUGCCUCCGAGCUCUCCAAACUCUCCAAUCUACGUUUGCAUUUGCUACUUAUCCUGUGCAGGAACCAUUCUCUCCUCCACCUAUCCCUUGUCCUCCCCACUUGACUGACUCCUCCUUGUCCUUCAAAUCUUAGCUUGAGAUGAUACUUCCCCAGAAGGCUUGGUCCCCCCGAACUGGGUUAGGUUCUCCUGAUGUGUGUUUCAUACUUAGCUCUUUUGUAGCAUUCACCAAAUAUUUGUUCAUUCUGUAUUUAUUGAGUGACUGCUCUGGGCUGGGCACUGGGCUAGGGCUGAGUAUUUCAUAAAUGAGAGCUGUGGCCCCUGCCCCCAUGGUACUUACAGUCUAAGAAGGGAAGAAAAUGGACAUUAAACAGUGAAUUACACUAAAUAUUUUAAUUAUAAUUAUGGCAUUUCAGAACACCCUGGGGAGGGCGUGUUAAGGGACUUGACAUAACUGGAGGUAUCAGAUAAAGUGUCAUUUAAGCAACUUUAAGGAGCCAGGUGGCCAACUGAAGAGUGGUGGGUGGAUUGUUCCACACAGAGGAACAGCAUGUAGGAAGGCUCUGAUGCAAAGCUUGGGGGGCAUUUCAGAAACUGAAAGGCCAACGUGGGAGACAAAGAAGAGCCUGAAAGAGCCAAAUCUUACCUUCUGGACCAUGGUAAGGGUUUCUAAGUUCAUCUUAAGAGAAGUAGGUUGCCUUUGAAGACUUUUAACAUGGGAACUUUAAAAGUUCCCCGUGGCGGCCGGGCGCAAUGGCUCACACCUGUAAUUCCAGCACUCUGGGAGGCCGAGGCGGGCGGAUCACGAGGUCAGGAGUUCGAGACCAGCCUGACCAACAUGGUGAAACACCGUCUCUACUAAAAAAAUACAAACUUAGCUGGGUGUGGUGGCACACGCCUGUAGUCCCAGCUACUUGGGAGGCUGAGGCAGGAGAAUUGCUUGAACCGGGAGGUGG